RNAcentral lists this ribosomal RNA (495 nucleotides) under uncultured Pseudomonadota bacterium. RNAcentral describes it as "bacterial SSU rRNA". It matches the Rfam family "Bacterial small subunit ribosomal RNA", at positions 382 to 896 of the family's 1533-position model. The record is from RNAcentral. Lineage: Bacteria; Pseudomonadati; Pseudomonadota.
CCUGACGCAGCCAUGCCGCGUGAAUGAUGAAGGUCUUAGGAUUGUAAAAUUCUUUCACCGGGGACGAUAAUGACGGUACCCGGAGAAGAAGCUCCGGCUAACUCGUGCCAGCAGCCGCGGUAAUACGAAGGGGGCUAGCGUUGCUCGGAAUUACUGGGCGUAAAGGGCGCGUAGGCGGACAGUUUAGUCAGAGGUGAAAGCCCAGGGCUCAACCCUGGAAUUGCCUUUGAUACUGGCUGUCUUGAGUACGGGAGAGGUGUGUGGAACUCCGAGUGUAGAGGUGAAAUUCGUAGAUAUUCGGAAGAACACCAGUGGCGAAGGCGACACACUGGCCCGUUACUGACGCUGAGGCGCGAAAGCGUGGGGAGCAAACAGGACUAGAUACCCUGGUAGUCCACGCCGUAAACGAUGAGUGCUAGUUGUCGGCAUGCAUGCAUGUCGGUGACGCAGCUAACGCAUUAAGCACUCCGCCUGGGGAGUACGGUCGCAAGAUUA